Molecule: long non-coding RNA, 272 nt
Organism: Gossypium raimondii (Peruvian cotton)
Lineage: Eukaryota; Viridiplantae; Streptophyta; Magnoliopsida; Malvales; Malvaceae
Exons: 2
Source: RefSeq, a predicted model, not a curated record
UGGAGGAUUUUCUUUUAUUAAUGCUAGGUGAAGUCUCUAAAAUACUAAUUGCACCUUUAAUUAGUCAACAAAUAGAUAAUUAAAGGUAAGUUUGCAGUUAUGAACGUUCUCUAAUUGAAUAAAAAUUUACUGGGGAUAGGAAGUCGCUUCGUAAGUGAUUUCUCAGCCUAGCUGCUGAGUUAGUCUACUAGGAUAAUUUAAGGGCGCAAAGGACUUGUGCUUGGCGGAUUAAGGAAUCAAUAACUAAGCAUUCUUUCUCUUUAUUUUGAUAA